AUGUGAAGCGAACGCGGUGAACUGAAACAUCUAAGUAACCGCAGGAAAAGAAAUCAACCGAGAUUCCCAAAGUAGUGGCGAGCGAAAUGGGAUGAGCCUUGUACUCUUUAUUUGUAUUGUUAGCCGAACGCUCUGGAAAGUGCGGCCAUAGCAGGUGAUAGCCCUGUAGGCGAAAACAGUAUGAAAGAACUAGGUGUACGACAAGUAGGGCGGGACACGUGAAAUCCUGUCUGAAGAUGGGGGGACCAUCCUCCAAGGCUAAAUACUCGUGAUCGACCGAUAGUGAACCAGUACCGUGAGGGAAAGGCGAAAAGAACCCCGGGAGGGGAGUGAAAUAGAUCCUGAAACCGCAUGCAUACAAACAGUCGGAGCCUCGUAAGGGGUGACGGCGUACCUUUUGUAUAAUGGGUCAGCGACUUACGUUCAGUAGCAAGCUUAACCGUAUAGGGCAGGCGUAGCGAAAGCGAGUCCGAAUAGGGCGUUCAGUUGCUGGGCGUAGACCCGAAACCAGGUGAUCUAUCCAUGGCCAGGAUGAAGGUGCGGUAACACGUACUGGAGGUCCGAACCCACUAACGUUGAAAAGUUAGGGGAUGAGCUGUGGAUAGGGGUGAAAGGCUAAACAAACCUGGAAAUAGCUGGUUCUCUCCGAAAACUAUUUAGGUAGUGCCUCGUGUCUCACCUUCGGGGGUAGAGCACUGUCAUGGUUGGGGGGUCUAUUGCAGAUUACCCCGCCAUAGCAAACUCCGAAUACCGAAGAGUGCAAUCACGGGAGACAGACAUCGGGUGCUAACGUCCGGUGUCAAGAGGGAAACAACCCAGACCGCCAGCUAAGGUCCCCAAAUAUGGCUAAGUGGGAAACGAAGUGGGAAGGCUAAAACAGUCAGGAGGUUGGCUUAGAAGCAGCCACCCUUUAAAGAAAGCGUAAUAGCUCACUGAUCGAGUCGUCCUGCGCGGAAGAUGUAACGGGGCUAAGCCAUAUACCGAAGCUGCGGAUGCG
Molecule: ribosomal RNA, 997 nt
Filed under: Burkholderia multivorans
Lineage: Bacteria; Pseudomonadati; Pseudomonadota; Betaproteobacteria; Burkholderiales; Burkholderiaceae
Description: partial 23S ribosomal RNA
Rfam family: Bacterial large subunit ribosomal RNA
Source: RNAcentral